RNAcentral lists this non-coding RNA (23 nucleotides) under Cricetulus griseus (Chinese hamster). The record is from RNAcentral. Lineage: Eukaryota; Metazoa; Chordata; Mammalia; Rodentia; Cricetidae.
AUCUGGGCCAGGCAUAGUGAGAC